GAAAGUAAUGAAGGGCGUACGGUGGAUGCCUAGGCUCUUACAGGCGAUGAAGGACGUGAUAAGCUGCGAAAAGCCGCGGUGAGGCGCAAAUGGCCCUUGACCCGCGGAUCUCCGAAUGGGACAACCCAAUAUCUUGAAGAGAUAUUAUCCCGCCGAUGCGGGAGGCGAACGCGGGGAACUGAAACAUCUUAGUACCCGCAGGAAAAGAAAAUAAAGAAUGAUUCCCCCAGUAGUGGCGAGCGACCGGGGAAGAGCCCAAACCGACGUUGUCUCGGCAUCGUCGGGGUUGUAGGACCGCGCCAUCGCAAGAAAGGCCGUGAGUGGAAGCGACUGGAAAGCCGCGCCAUAGAGGGUGACAGCCCCUUACACGAAGCAGCCUGAAGCGUAGCGGACUCCUGAGUAGCGCGGGACACGAGUAAUCCUGUGUGAAUCCGCCGGGCCCAUCCGGCAAGGCUAAAUACUCGUAAGAGACCGAUAGUGAACCAGUACCGUGAGGGAAAGGUGAAAAGUACCCCUUGCAGGGGAGUGAAAUAGUUCCUGAAACCGUACGCCUACAAGCGGUCGGAGCAUCUUGAAUGAUGUGACGGCGUGCCUUUUGCAUAAUGAACCUACGAGUUGCCGUCACCAGCGAGGUUAAGUGCGAUGACGCACCGAGCCGCAGCGGAAGCGAGUCUUAAAAGGGCGCGAUAGUUGGUGGAGGCAGACGCGAAACCGAGUGAUCUACACUUGUCCAGGAUGAAGUCCCGGUAACACGGGAUGGAGGUCCGCACCAAUAAGCGUUGAAAAGCUUCUGGAUGAGGUGAGUGUAGGAGUGAAAGGCCAAUCAAACUCGGAGAUAGCUCGUACUCCCCGAAAGGCAUUUAGGUGCCGCCUGUGGCGUUCCCGACGUGAGGUAGAGCGACUGAUAGGAUGCGAGGGCUUCACCGCCUAUCAAGUCCUGACAAACUCCGAAUGCACGUCGGCCAAGCCAUGGAGUAAGGGCAUGGGUGCUAAGGUCCGUGCCCGAGAGGAGAAGAAUCCAGACCACCGGCUAAGGUCCCGAAAUACUGGUUAAGUUAGACUAACGCAGUCCGGCCCCCAAGACAGCUAGGAUGUUGGCUUGGAAGCAGCCAUUCAUUCAAAGAGUGCGUAACAGCUCACUAGUCGAGGAGCUGGGCGUGGAUAAUAAUCGGGUAUAAAACCAGUUACCGAAGCCGUGGGAUGCUUAAGCAUCGGUAGGGGAGCAUUGCAUGCGGCUUAGAAGGCGGGGCGCGAGCCCCUCUGGAGCGCAUGGAAACGCAAAUGUAGGUAUAAGUAACGACAAGGGGGGUGGGAUGCCCCCCCGCCGAAAGACCAAGGUUUCCUGAACAACGCUAAUCGGUUCAGGGUCAGUCGGGUCCUAAGCAUAAGCCGUAUGGCGAGGGCGAUGGAUGAAACGGUUAAUAUUCCGUUACUGUCUUGGUGUGUGACGCGGCGACGGAGUAGUGACACGGCCGCCUCCUGACGGAAAAGGGGGUUGAAGCGCAAAGGUGUCGAGGAAGGCAGGCAAAUCCACCUUCCGAGCCGAAGCGCGAUAGUACGCCGCGCCCUUUUGGGCAAGGCGAUAGUGCCGGUAAUCAGACUUCCAAGAAAACCCGCUAAACUUCAGCACCAAGUCACCCGUACUCUAAACGGACACACGUGGUCGGGUAGAAUAUACUAAGGCGCUUGGGAGAUUCACGGUUAAGGAACUAGGCAAAUUGACCCCGUACCUUCGGAAUAAGGGGUCCUCGCUUUUGCGAGGCGCAGAGAAUAGGUCCAGGCAACUGUUUAACAAAAACACAGGGCUGUGCAAAUUUGAAAGAAGAAGUAUACAGCCUGACACCUGCCCGGUGCCGGAAGGUUAAGAGGAGAGCUCAUCAGCGAUGAGAAGGUUUGAAUUGAAGCCCCGGUAAACGGCGGCCGUAACUAUAACGGUCCUAAGGUAGCGAAAUUCCUUGUCGG
Molecule: ribosomal RNA, 1962 nt
Filed under: human gut metagenome
Description: bacterial LSU rRNA
Rfam family: Bacterial large subunit ribosomal RNA
Source: RNAcentral